CAUACCUCAAACAACAACAACCCCAGUCCUCUUCUCUAACUCCUGCCGACCUCACUGUUCUGGUUUAGGGUGAGAAACUGUUGGGUAUAUUUGCUCACCAGCUGAAAAGCCAAAAAAAGGGUGACUUCACGAAGACCCUUUAACUGGACUGGACAAACAGGAGAGUCACUGAACUGGAGCAUCUGCAAGGAAAAGGGGAACAAUACGGAUAUCAGGACACCCCUUACUUAUCAUACCUGCAGUAUAACAAACCAACCUCUGACCAUUUCAGCCACAGAAGAUCAUAAAGACCUCAGUUCUGUGCCACCCCCUUCCCUCUUACCCCAUGAAAAUCACACAAAGGUUGUUUUUUUUUUUUUUUUAAAUGUUAAGACUUGUAGAUCACCCCAUUAAGUAAGUUUGUUGGUUUUGUUUUGUUUUUCAUUUUGUUUUUCUUUCUUUCG
Pelobates cultripes (western spadefoot toad) is the source of this 443-nucleotide non-coding RNA. The record is from the annotation of a GenBank genome assembly. NCBI's taxonomy places the organism in Eukaryota, Metazoa, Chordata, Amphibia, Anura, Pelobatidae.